Molecule: ribosomal RNA, 404 nt
Filed under: Actinomycetes bacterium
Lineage: Bacteria; Bacillati; Actinomycetota; Actinomycetes
Description: Actinobacteria bacterium partial 16S ribosomal RNA
Rfam family: Bacterial small subunit ribosomal RNA
Source: RNAcentral
UGGGGAAUAUUGGACAAUGGGCGCAAGCCUGAUCCAGCCAUGCCGCGUGAGUGAUGAAGGCCCUAGGGUUGUAAAGCUCUUUCACCGGUGAAGAUAAUGACGGUAACCGGAGAAGAAGCCCCGGCUAACUUCGUGCCAGCAGCCGCGGUAAUACGAAGGGGGCUAGCGUUGUUCGGAUUUACUGGGCGUAAAGCGCACGUAGGCGGACUAUUAAGUCAUGGGUGAAAUCCCGGGGCUCAACCCCGGAACUGCCUUUGAUACUGGUAGUCUUGAGUUCGAGAGAGGUGAGUGGAAUUCCGAGUGUAGAGGUGAAAUUCGUAGAUAUUCGGAGGAACACCAGUGGCGAAGGCGGCUCACUGGCUCGAUACUGACGCUGAGGUGCGAAAGCGUGGGGAGCAAACAGG